RNAcentral lists this ribosomal RNA (460 nucleotides) under uncultured bacterium. RNAcentral's name for it is "partial 16S ribosomal RNA". It matches the Rfam family "Bacterial small subunit ribosomal RNA", at positions 338 to 795 of the family's 1533-position model. The record is from RNAcentral.
CCUACGGGGGGCAGCAGUGAGGAAUAUUGGUCAAUGGACGAGAGUCUGAACCAGCCAAGUAGCGUGAAGGAUGACUGCCCUAUGGGUUGUAAACUUCUUUUAUAUGGGAAUAAAAUGUUCCACGUGUGGGAUUUUGUAUGUACCAUAUGAAUAAGGAUCGGCUAACUCCGUGCCAGCAGCCGCGGUAAUACGGAGGAUCCGAGCGUUAUCCGGAUUUAUUGGGUUUAAAGGGAGCGUAGGUGGGUUGUUAAGUCAGUUGUGAAAGUUUGCGGCUCAACCGUAAAAUUGCAGUUGAAACUGGCAGUCUUGAGUACAGUAGAGGUGGGCGGAAUUCGUGGUGUAGCGGUGAAAUGCUUAGAUAUCACGAAGAACUCCGAUUGCGAAGGCAGUUCACUGAACUGCAACUGACACUGAGGCUCGAAAGUGUGGGUAUCAAACAGGAUUAGAUACCCUAGUAGUC